This 429-nucleotide ribosomal RNA is filed under the name Chloroflexota bacterium. RNAcentral describes it as "Chloroflexi bacterium partial 16S ribosomal RNA". It matches the Rfam family "Bacterial small subunit ribosomal RNA", at positions 355 to 776 of the family's 1533-position model. Lineage: Bacteria; Bacillati; Chloroflexota. The record is from RNAcentral.
UGGGGAAUAUUGCACAAUGGGCGCAAGCCUGAUGCAGCCAUGCCGCGUGUAUGAAGAAGGCCUUCGGGUUGUAAAGUACUUUCAGUCGGGAGGAAGGUGUCAAGGUUAAUAACCUUGGCAAUUGACGUUACCGACAGAAGAAGCACCGGCUAACUCCGUGCCAGCAGCCGCGGUAAUACGGAGGGUGCAAGCGUUAAUCGGAAUUACUGGGCGUAAAGCGCACGCAGGCGGUUUGUUAAGUCAGAUGUGAAAUCCCCGGGCUCAACCUGGGAACUGCAUCUGAUACUGGCAAGCUUGAGUCUCGUAGAGGGGGGUAGAAUUCCAGGUGUAGCGGUGAAAUGCGUAGAGAUCUUGAGGAAGACCGGUGGCGAAGGCGGCCCCCUGGACGAAGACUGACGCUCAGGUGCGAAAGCGUGGCGAGCAAACAGG